UUAUCUAGAAAACCUCCAGCUCUGAUGUGAUAGUUUUAGGCACCACCUGUCACCCAUUCGGCCUCUACUCCUGCCCCCUUGAAGGAUUCUUUUCCCUAGCCCCAGCCUUUCCCGGACACUGCCCACCUCUGGAUCCCUUACUGUACUCUCUUUAGGGAGCCCUUCCUGUGCCCGGCUUCCUAUGACCUCCCUGGCUCAGCCCCCUAGAGGGCUCAACUUCAUCCCGCUGCCCCUUCCCUGGUCCUUUCCAGUUCCCAGAGGACCUGAGGGGCACUGUCUGGGCUCUUCUGGUAGGGUCAGUGUGACAGCUACCCUCAGCCCCAGUAUGUGGUUUUCUGGUUCCUAAUCCCAGGCCCUAGUCCCAAAUUUCCCAGGCUCAGCUUCAAGCCUCCCUCUUUAGCCCUCAAUCAACAGACCUCAUUCCCUAUCCCCUACAUGAGGCCUCUAGCCCCAAGUCUCCUGGUUCCCAGCUCCAGGCUCCUGCACCUUAAUCUGCAGCUCUAAGCCCUAGUCCCACUGCCCACCCGUGGCAUCCAGCCUUCCUCUCCAGAGCAGUUUCUGAGAUUCUGGGUUCUAGGGGGUUAAUAGGCAGCCUCUUUCCUCUCUCCAGCUGCAGCUGCAACCUACUUGGUUUUUGGGCCUGAGCCAGGGGCCUGGGCCAGAGGAGAGCAAUUGAGCACCCUGGCUGAGUGAGGGGUGAAUCUCAGGAGUUGAGGACAACUAUUUAGAGUAACACUGCCUCCAACCCCCAAGCCUGGUUCAAGGAAAGACUGAAGUGGGAGGAGGAGGAGCAAAGACACAUAACGUUUUUCUCUAUCACCAAAAGAAAACCUUUAAGGGAGCAGAGAAAAUGGCAAGAAAGAGAUAGAGUCUCACUAUGUUGCUCAGGCUGGUCUCAAACUCCUGGGCUCAAGCGAUCCUCCCACCUCAACCUCCCGGAGUGCUGGGAUUAUGGUCUCACUCUAUCACCCAGGCUGGAGUGCAGUGGCACGAUCACAACUCACUGAAGCCUUGACCUCCUGAGCUCAAGCCAUCCUGCCACCUCAUCCUCCACGUAGCUGUGUUACUGGAAAGGGGUCCUGAUCCAGACUCCAAAAGAGCGUUCUUGGACCUUACAUAAGAAAGAAUUUCAGGAAAGGGUGAUUUCCUCUUUUAAAGUGGCAUGAACCCCACAGCUAUAGCACAAGUGAGCAGGAUCAUCAGAAGCCACUCCAUUCUUCUGGAAGCUGCAGAGAAAGGGAAACUGGAAACCUGAUAUACCAGCAAAAAGGGUAAGAAAUUCUUACUGGCCAAGUUUCUGGUCUCUCUCUGUCUUUCUCUGUCUUGGUAAAUAGUAAACUAUCUGUCUCAUCUGCAAGGGUUUGAUUAAUAAAAAAAGGAUUUAUGAGACUAAUCUUAGGCUGUAGCAUAUCUGGUAUAGUUUGUGCUAAGAAUUUGUCUUUCUGUGUUCUGUAAUGGAGAGAGGGGUAUCAACAGGAUAGAACGUGGGUUUAGGACCUCUAUAAGCCUGCUUUUCAAGCCAGCUCAGCAGGCUGGUCAGUUACAAACUUUGCUAUGGGUCCCUGAAGCCAAUACUGUAUGAAAUUUCUAUGUCUUGUUUUGUGUCCUUAAGAGCUCAACCUUGUGACCAUGCAGGGAUUCUUUCUUUUUGUUUCCACCAUCCAGAGGACAGAAAUUUUGGGGUUCAUGUCAUAGUCCUACAAUUUUUUCCUGACCAGUUAAAGCUUUGCAAGCUUGAAAUUGGCUUCUGAGGCCGGGUACGUGGUGGCUUACGCCUGUAAUCCCAGCACUUUUGGAGGCCGAGGCGGGCAGAUCAUAAGGUCAGGAGAUCAAGACCAUCCUGGCUAACACGGUGAAACCCUGUCUCUACUAAAAAUAGAAAAAAUUAGCCGGGUGUGGUGGCGGGCACCUGUAGUCCCAGCUACUCGGGAGGCUGAGGCAGGAGAAUGGCAUGAACCUGGGAGGUGGAGCUUGCAGUGAGC
Molecule: long non-coding RNA, 1982 nt
Organism: Pan troglodytes (chimpanzee)
Lineage: Eukaryota; Metazoa; Chordata; Mammalia; Primates; Hominidae
Exons: 5
Source: RefSeq, a predicted model, not a curated record